CCUACGGGGGACUGCAGUGAGGAAUAUUGGUCAAUGGACGAGAGUCUGAACCAGCCAAGUAGCGUGAAGGAUGACUGCCCUAUGGGUUGUAAACUUCUUUUAUAUGGGAAUAAAAUGUUCCACGUGUGGGAUUUUGUAUGUAUCAUAUGAAUAAGGAUCGGCUAACUCUGUGCCAGCAGCCGCGGUAAUACGGAGGAUCCGAGCGUUAUCCGGAUUUAUUGGGUUUAAAGGGAGCGUAGGUGGAUUGUUAAGUCAGUUGUGAAAGUUUGCGGCUCAACCGUAAAAUUGCAGUUGAAACUGGCAGUCUAGAGUGCAGGAGAGGUGAGCGGAAUUCGUAGUGUAGCGGUGAAAUGCUUAGAUAUCACGAGGAACUCCGGUUGCGAAGGCAGUUCACUGGACUGCAACUGACACUGAGGCUCGAAAGUGUGGGUAGCAAACAGGAUUAGAUACCCCAGUAGUC
RNAcentral lists this ribosomal RNA (460 nucleotides) under uncultured bacterium. Its description in RNAcentral is "partial 16S ribosomal RNA". It matches the Rfam family "Bacterial small subunit ribosomal RNA", at positions 338 to 795 of the family's 1533-position model. The record is from RNAcentral.